UACGUAGGUCCCGAGCGUUGUCCGGAUUUAUUGGGCGUAAAGCGAGCGCAGGUGGUUUAUUAAGUCUGGUGUAAAAGGCAGUGGCUCAACCAUUGUAUGCAUUGGAAACUGGUAGACUUGAGUGCAGGAGAGGAGAGUGGAGUUCCACGUGUAGCGGUGAAAUGCGUAGAUAUAUGGAGGAACACCGGUGGCGAAAGCGGCUCUCUGGCCUGUAACUGACACUGAGGCUCGAAAGCGUGGGGAGCAAACAGG
This 252-nucleotide ribosomal RNA is filed under the name uncultured bacterium. RNAcentral's name for it is "partial 16S ribosomal RNA". It matches the Rfam family "Bacterial small subunit ribosomal RNA", at positions 524 to 776 of the family's 1533-position model. The record is from RNAcentral.